CGCUGGCGGCACGCCUAACACAUGCAAGUCGAACGGAGUAGCAAUACUUAGUGGCAGACGGGUGAGUAACAUGUAGGUAUCUGCCCUUUGGCCUGGAAUAACACGAGGAAACUUGUGCUAAUACCGGAUAAGUCUUUACGGAGAAAGCUUUAUGCACCAUUGGAUGAGCCUGCACUUGAUUAGUUUGUUGGUGGGGUAAUGGCCUACCAAGACUUUGAUCAAUAGCUGAUUUGAGAGGAUGAUCAGCCACAUUGGGACUGAGACACGGCCCAAACUCCUACGGGAGGCAGCAGUGGGGAAUCUUGCACAAUGGAGGAAACUCUGAUGCAGCGAUGCCGCGUGAGUGAAGAAGGCCCUUGGGUUGUAAAGCUCUUUCGUCGGGGAAGAAAAUGACUGUACCCGAAUAAGAAGGUCCGGCUAACUUCGUGCCAGCAGCCGCGGUAAUACGAAGGGACCUAGCGUAGUUCGGAAUUACUGGGCUUAAAGAGUUCGUAGGUGGUUGAAAAAGUUGGUGGUGAAAUCCCAGAGCUUAACUCUGGAACUGCCAUCAAAACUUUUCAGCUAGAGUUUGAUAGAGGAAAGCAGAAUUUCUAGUGUAGAGGUGAAAUUCGUAGAUAUUAGAAAGAAUACCAAUUGCGAAGGCAGCUUUCUGGAUCAUUACUGACACUGAGGAACGAAAGCAUGGGUAGCGAAGAGGAUUAGAUACCCUCGUAGUCCAUGCCGUAAACGAUGUGUGUUAGACGUUGGAAAUUUAUUUUCAGUGUCGCAGCGAAAGCAAUAAACACACCGCCUGGGGAGUACG
This 802-nucleotide ribosomal RNA is filed under the name uncultured Pelagibacteraceae bacterium. Its description in RNAcentral is "bacterial SSU rRNA". It matches the Rfam family "Bacterial small subunit ribosomal RNA", at positions 34 to 884 of the family's 1533-position model. Lineage: Bacteria; Pseudomonadati; Pseudomonadota; Alphaproteobacteria; Candidatus Pelagibacterales; Candidatus Pelagibacteraceae. The record is from RNAcentral.